UACUAACUGCGGGGCAAGGUUAUACUCCGAAUUGGGUCAGGACCGGAAGGUAGCAGCCCUAAGGAUGCUGUAAUUUGUGCUUCGUAUACAUACAUUUA
RNAcentral lists this signal recognition particle RNA (98 nucleotides) under Periweissella cryptocerci. RNAcentral describes it as "Bacterial small signal recognition particle RNA". It matches the Rfam family "Bacterial small signal recognition particle RNA". Rfam says of the family: The signal recognition particle (SRP) is a universally conserved ribonucleoprotein involved in the co-translational targeting of proteins to membranes. Archaeal SRP consists of a 7S RNA and homologues of the eukaryotic SRP19 and SRP54 proteins. Lineage: Bacteria; Bacillati; Bacillota; Bacilli; Lactobacillales; Lactobacillaceae. The record is from Rfam by way of RNAcentral.